GUCGAGGCAGGAGACGUCGAAGUUUCGUCCAGAAGGCACAGCCUCAACACGCUUCUAUACAUCCCCUAUAAAUAAGUAUCUACGGUGCCACAGGAAGCGUUUGUUUCAGGUGGUGAUUGUGAAAGGGAUCACUCGACUAGACCAUGGCAGACCCGUUUCUAGAUGUCGGUAAUCCGCUGGAGCUGGAGGUGACUCGGCUUACGCAGGAGAACCGCGAGCUUCGUCAAGAGAACGCAAGGCUUCGUGCGCGGAUUAGCUUAACCGCCACCCCCUCAGAGACGGCAUCGAAUGCCGUCAGCGAGCGAUCCACACUGCGCAGGGCUGACGACACAGCCGCUGUACCCGUCGGAACAUCGCCAGGGGCGAAGCCGAUAGACAAGCCCGGCGGCGCGCUUUCGCACCGCUUCACACGAGCUGCAGAGACUUCGAGCCCAAAGCAGCAUAAGCAGCAGGCGGUGUCUACCGCGCGCAUUGAGGAGGCGGUUCAGCGAGUCAAGAAGGAGCUACGCGGGGAGGUGGAGAAGUACCAGAAGGCGGCUGAGACGAAGGCAUCGCAGAUGGAGCAGCUCAAGCAGCAAUUCGAGCUGUUUGUCACGACCACCUGUGAGCGAGAGGCCGCAUAUGAGCUCGUAUACAUGCAGGUGUUUCGAGAGUUGGAAGAGCAGCGGGCCCUGGCUCGAAUUGCGCAGGCGCAGCUGGAGGAGCAGCGACUAGAGGCAGUCGAGAUGCGCACUUCGCUGCAGGCCGCCGCCGCAGCGGCUGCGGCACCCUCGAAGUGCAGCACCUUGGUCUCAUUAUCGCCGAGUCCGCCUUCCAAGUCAGAGGAUGUCGCAGUGGCGUCAUCAUCCUCUGCGGCUCGGCCAGUGAAGAGGUGUCGCACCGGCAAGACUGCUACGCACGCCGAUGAUGGUUAUAAGUCGAACGCGACGGAGGCCCAGACAACUCAGGAGGAGGUAGUGGAAGUGCAGCAGGAAGUCGCAAUGACAGCGCCCAACGCAACGCCCGAGCCGCGACAGCUGAGGAUUGUUCAGGGUGGUGCAGCUCUUCGUGCUGACAGCAAGACCUCUCGUCUCAAGCGUCCGCGCGCCAGCUCCGCCAUGAGCGUGUCGUCAGCGACUCGCUCGACACGCACGAGGCAGAGCGCUGCCGCCGUCGCGCAGCUGCAUAUGCCUGCUUCUCCGGUGUUCGCCGCCGCUUCCGUGAGUGCAGCCGACAUCUCAGUGGGAGUUGCUGUGACAUCCUCCUCAGGAACGGCUGCGACCGCGUUCCCUGCAGCUGCUUCCGCAUCAUCCCCUGCACGGCGGACGGCAAGCGAUGCUCUGGGCGAUCUCUGGACCCUCCUCGCCCGUCACACAGAAGCCACUCACGGCUUUCUACCUCUGUGGCAGCACCUUGCCCGCCUCCGCGGUUCAGACCGCUUGGCCGCGCUGCGGGUUAUGAUACCCCUCCUGCUUCACUUGCUGGGCCCUGCCGAUGCGACGAUUCCGCUUGUUUUGCCUGCGCCUCUCUCGGCCUCUGUCGCUGCCCCGCCCACCUCUAUCACGGUGCUGGCGACGGCGAUCCGCCUCCUGGAGGUGCAGCUAGAAAGUGAAGCGCAGCAGCAGCGCGGCGCCGCCGUGAGCCGCGCAGACGCCACCGCCCAGCACUGCUCCGCGCUCUUUCACUCUCUCUUUUACCGCAUCUGUGUGGCGACGCUGCGACGAUGGCAGACCGCCGAAGCCGGGGCUGACGCCGUCGAUAACUGGGCGACGGCGCUCAUCCACUUGUAUGGCUUCCAGCCCGCCUUGUCGAAGCUUGUGCAGUAUACCAACUCCACCAUCGCCUACGAGCGCACGCACCUAGCGCACAGCUGGGUCACGUACACGGCCCAGGCUAUCUUUGCGCAAUGCCUCACAUCAUCGUCCACCUCUUCCGCCGAGGUGGCGGUGGCGCGCUGGCGAGAGCUAUGUGACAGCAUCGGCUGGAGCCCUCAUUCCCUGCCUCUGGAGAGACUCGAAGCGGCAGCGGCGCGCUGCGUCGCGCGAACGCGAGUAGGUCUCGGCUCCUUCACCGCCGCCUGCGCUGAAGAGGCGCUGCUCUCGCUCCGCCUCGUUGUCCUUUACCGAGGCUUUGACCACAUGGAGCGUAUAGCAGCGCUGCUGGAAAUGCCGGGAGUCCUGCCGAUGGUGAUCACGAAGGAAAUUUAUGCGGAGCUGGUGAGCUUGGCCGUGAUGGAUCGAGCUCCGUUUCGUACCACCGAUGCUAUUCAACACGCCCUGCGUCUGCUGAGGGAGUACGUGCAGGAGGUUUCCCCGGAGCGCUGCACCUCGGCAGAGCACUUUGUGAGCGUGCCACGUCUCAGCCACCUGCUGGCGGCGCUGGCGCUGCUGCGUGUGGAGUCAACGAAUACCGCAGCCACCGCAAGAAGUACCGAGACUGACUCUGCGUUCUGCGAGGCCGUUCAGGAGGGUCGCCAGACCGCCCUUCGAUGGCUCCAAGCGCAGAAGGUGGCCCUCAAUAUGGUGCGCCAGAGCGCCGCGCUGGCACGCGACCGCCAGCUGCUUCUCCGAGACACAGUGCUGGGCCAGCGCCUCUUACGCGACGCGAGCGCAACGGUGCACUCCUAGCCCCGCUCCCUCCCUUCCGUUUCGCUGGCGUGACUUCACGCAGUCUUCGUAGGCGAUUCCCUGAGCAAGAGGGCGGGGGGCAAGCGGAGGGAAGAACUUUAGCUCGUGCCGUAUGUGUGUGAAUGCCCGUGGGCCGUCAUCGAAGACACUUCGAAAAAAGUGAAAGCAAGUGAUACAGAGCAGCUCGAGGUCUGGGUGCGUAAGGGGCGGGGGCACAGGAGCGUGCGCGUGACUGCGGUGCCUCUUCGAGGCACGUACACAGACGGCGCUGCGAUUAAACUGACGUGCGUGUUCCGCCAUCGGUUAUGGCUGUGGCAUGCGCCCCAGCAAUUCCCGCAUCUGCGCCACCAGCUUGCUAGCCGAGUUCCUGUCUUGCGUCGUAAGGGCACACAGUCACAUGAAAGCUGACGAGACAAGCACGGAAACCUGAAGAGUGA
This 3043-nucleotide unclassified non-coding RNA is filed under the name Leishmania donovani. Its description in RNAcentral is "gene:LdHU3.36.4950(CDS-product:hypothetical_prote in_conserved)". The record is from RNAcentral. Lineage: Eukaryota; Euglenozoa; Kinetoplastea; Trypanosomatida; Trypanosomatidae.